GACGAACGCUGGCGGCGUGCCUAAUACAUGCAAGUAGAACGCUGAAGGAGGAGCUUGCUUCUCUGGAUGAGUUGCGAACGGGUGAGUAACGCGUAGGUAACCUGCCUGGUAGCGGGGGAUAACUAUUGGAAACGAUAGCUAAUACCGCAUAAGAGUAGAUGUCGCAUGACAUUUGCUUAAAAGGUGCAAUUGCCUCACUACCAGUUGGACCUGCGUUGUAUUAGCUAGUUGGUGAGGUAACGGCUCACCAAGGCAACGAUACAUAGCCGACCUGAGAGGGGGAUCGGCCACACUGGGACUGAGACACGGCCCAGGAUUCUACGGGGGGCAGCAGGAGGGAAACUUCGGCAAUGGACGGAAGUCUGACCGAGCAACGCCGCGUGAGGGAAGAAGGGUUUCGGAUCGUAAAGCUCUGUUGUAAGAGAAGAACGAGUGUGAGAGUGGAAAGUUCACACUGUGACGGUAUCUUACCAGAAAGGGACGGCUAACUACGUG
RNAcentral lists this ribosomal RNA (495 nucleotides) under uncultured bacterium. RNAcentral describes it as "partial 16S ribosomal RNA". It matches the Rfam family "Bacterial small subunit ribosomal RNA", at positions 28 to 507 of the family's 1533-position model. The record is from RNAcentral.